GCAGUAUUCUAACUGUGCUAAGGUAGCAUAAUCAUUAGUCUUUUAAUUGAAGACUGGUAUGAAUGGCUUAACGAGAAAUUAACUUUUUUUGUUAUAAAAAUUGAAUUUAAUUUUUUAGUGAAAAAGCUAAAAUUGUUCAGAAAGACGAGAAGACCCUAUAGAGUUUUAUGUUUUAAAAAAUAAAUUUUUAUUAGAUUUCUGAAUUAUUAAUUUUUAUAAACAUUUUGUUGGGGCGACAUAAAGAUAAAUAAAACUCUUUAUAUUAAAAAUUUUUAUAAAAAUAUUCUUGAUCCUUUAUAAGAGAUUAUAAGAAAAAAUUACCUUAGGGAUAACAGCGUAAUCUUUUUUGAGAGUUCUAAUCGACAAAAAGGUUUGCGACCUCGAUGUUGGACUAAAAUUUAGGCAGGGUGCAGCAGUUCUGCUUUAAGGUCUGUUCGACCAAUA
This 444-nucleotide ribosomal RNA is filed under the name Savignium sp. 1 MM-2014. RNAcentral describes it as "partial 16S ribosomal RNA". It matches the Rfam family "Bacterial large subunit ribosomal RNA", at positions 1933 to 2590 of the family's 2925-position model. The record is from RNAcentral. Lineage: Eukaryota; Metazoa; Arthropoda; Thecostraca; Balanomorpha; Pyrgomatidae.